This 482-nucleotide ribosomal RNA is filed under the name uncultured bacterium. Its description in RNAcentral is "partial 16S ribosomal RNA". It matches the Rfam family "Bacterial small subunit ribosomal RNA", at positions 30 to 507 of the family's 1533-position model. The record is from RNAcentral.
AUUGAACGCUGGCGGCAUGCCUUACACAUGCAAGUCGAACGGUAACAGGUCUUCGGAUGCUGACGAGUGGCGAACGGGUGAGUAAUACUUCGGAACGUGCCCGAUGCUGGGGGAUAACGAGGCGAAUGCUUUGCUAAUACCGCAUACGAUCUACGGAUUAAAGCGGGGGAUCUUCGGACCUCGCGCGGACGGAGCGGUCGAUGGCAGAUUAGGUCGUUGGUGGGAUAAAAGCUUACCAAGCCGACGAUCUGUAGCUGGUCUGAGAGGAUGAUCAGCCACACUGGGACUGAGACACGGCCCAGACUCCUACGGGAGGCAGCAGUGGGGAAUUUUGGACAAUGGGCGAAAGCCUGAUCCAGCCAUGCCGCGUGCAGGAUGAAGGCCUUCGGGUUGUAAACUGCUUUUGUACGGAACGAAAAGCCUCUUUCUAAUAAAGAGGGGUCAUGACGGUACCGUAAGAAUAAGCACCGGCUAACUACGUG